AACCCAUUUGAAUCCAUAUGAAACCAUAUACAUAUAGCCUUUAACUUUUACAUAGCAUAUAAACUUAUAUAUAAUACUAAUUAUACUUAAAAAGACCAUAAACAACCCAACAAGUCAUCAAAAAUUGCAUGAAACCAUUCCAUAUACAUUUACAAACAAUAACAAUCCAAGAAGACCACUAAACAACAAAAAACAACUUAGAAAAGGAAAACAACUUUGAAACCAUCACCAACCGUUCUAGAAAGGUCCAAAACCUCCAAAAUGACCUAAAGAACGUCCAAAUAUGAAACCUCGAACCCCGAAAACCACCCAAUACUGUACUGGAUGAUUUUUUGACGACAAUAAUCGAUUAUCAUAUGUGAUAAUCGAUUAUUUGCGAGAGCUUUGGAGAAAAUAUACUCUUUGACUAAAAUAAUCGAUUAUCAAGUUAGAUAAUCGAUUAUUCUUAUCAAUUUUUUACAGCAACCUGAUUUUUUUUCUAGUUUUAGUGCAUCUUAGACAUAUCUAAAUGAUCAAUUUAGAAUCCAUAACACUAAUAUUGAUAUGAAAAAUGUUUAUAGAUGAAAGUAGAGUAUUGCAUUGGUCAUUUGGAUAGGAAUUAGGUGUACCAAACUAACUCAAUAACUCAAAACCCCCCAAAAUGGCUAAAAACCAACCUAAGAUACAACUUUCACCUUCAUGCCAGAUUUUCAUUAGUUUAAACCUCCAUCCAAGUCCUAAUCGGCCUCAUAACCUGUUACAAACUCUCUAAAACAUAAUAAACCCCUUACUUUAAAAAUCUCACUACUCAAAACCCCAUUUUUACACUAAAAACACAACAAAACUGCCCCCAAUGAAUUACUCCUUUAUUUCAUCUCAGAUUUUAAAUCAAAAGACACCUCUAAGAAGUUUCAAAUGACAUAAAACAAUAUCUGAAAUACCACAUAUACAACUCCAACCCUCAUCUUUCAAAAUUGCCUAUCAAACCUCUACUUUUAACUACACAAAUUCAUAACUUUGAUAGCUCACUGCACCUUGAACAUUUUAGUCAAUUCACAACAUCAAGACAGCUUCAUAAGACAAGGUUCAUCAUCAUUAUAACAUCAAUAUCACAUAUUAUCAAAAACCAAUAAUCAACUAACCAAAUAUACCCAUUAAAUGAACUAACGCUAACAUGCACAAUGGAAUUCUAAUUGAAUC
Molecule: long non-coding RNA, 1179 nt
Filed under: Vigna radiata
Lineage: Eukaryota; Viridiplantae; Streptophyta; Magnoliopsida; Fabales; Fabaceae
Description: long non-coding RNA (VRAD_LNC008656)
Source: RNAcentral